RNAcentral lists this ribosomal RNA (253 nucleotides) under uncultured bacterium. RNAcentral's name for it is "partial 16S ribosomal RNA". It matches the Rfam family "Bacterial small subunit ribosomal RNA", at positions 524 to 776 of the family's 1533-position model. The record is from RNAcentral.
UACGUAGGCAGCAAGCGUUGUUCGGAGUUACUGGGCGUAAAGGGUGUGUAGGCGGUUGUCCAAGUUGGAUGUGAAAGCCUUGAGCUCAACUCAAGAAAUGCAUUCAGGACUGGAUGGCUAGAGGACCGGAGAGGAUAGUGGAAUUCCCAGUGUAGUGGUGAAAUACGUAGAGAUUGGGAAGAACACCAGUGGCGAAGGCGGCUAUCUGGACGGUUUCUGACACUAAGACUCGAAAGCGUGGGGAGCAAACAGG